This 191-nucleotide small nuclear RNA is filed under the name Octodon degus (degu). Its description in RNAcentral is "U2 spliceosomal RNA (ENSODEG00000023864.1)". It matches the Rfam family "U2 spliceosomal RNA". Rfam says of the family: U2 is a small nuclear RNA (snRNA) component of the spliceosome (involved in pre-mRNA splicing). Complementary binding between U2 snRNA (in an area lying towards the 5' end but 3' to hairpin I) and the branchpoint sequence (BPS) of the intron results the bulging out of an unpaired adenosine, on the BPS, which initiates a nucleophilic attack at the intronic 5' splice site, thus starting the first of two transesterification reactions that mediate splicing. The record is from Rfam by way of RNAcentral. Lineage: Eukaryota; Metazoa; Chordata; Mammalia; Rodentia; Octodontidae.
AUUGCUUCUAGGCUUUUUAGCUAAGAUCAAGUGUAGUAUCUAUUCUUAUCAGCUUAGUAUCUGAUACAUCCUCUACCUGAGGACAAUAUAUUAAAUGGAUUUUUGGAGCUGGGAGAUGGAAUAGGAGCUUGCUCCGUCCACUCCAUGCAUCGACCUGGUAUUGCAGCACCUCCAGGAAUGGUGCACCCCCU